ACGCUAGCGAUAGGCUUAACACAUGCAAGUCGAGGGGCAGCAUGGUCUUAGCUUGCUAAGACUGGUGGCGACCGGCGCACGGGUGCGUAACGCGUAUGCAACUUGCCUCACAGAGGGGGAUAACCCGUCGAAAGACGGACUAAUACCGCGUACACUCUAUGUUGGGCAUCCAAUGUAGAGGAAAUGAACUUCGCUGUGAGAUAGGCAUGCGUCCCAUUAGCUAGUUGGUGAGGUAACGGCUCACCAAGGCGACGAUGGGUAGGGGAACUGAGAGGUUGAACCCCCACACUGGUACUGAGACACGGACCAGACUCCUACGGGAGGCAGCAGUGAGGAAUAUUGGUCAAUGGGCGAGAGCCUGAACCAGCCAAGUCGCGUGAAGGAUGGCUGUCUUAUGGAUUGUAAACUUCUUUUAUACGGGAAUAACAAGAGCCACGUGUGGCUCCCUGCAUGUACCGUAUGAAUAAGCAUCGGCUAACUCCGUGCCAGCAGCCGCGGUAAUACGGAGGAUGCGAGCGUUAUCCGGAUUUAUUGGGUUUAAAGGGUGCGUAGGCGGCCUGUUAAGUCAGCGGUGAAAUCUAGGAGCUUAACUCCUAAAUUGCCAUUGAUACUGGCGGGCUUGAGUGUAGAUGAGGUAGGCGGAAUGCGUGGUGUAGCGGUGGAAUGCAUAGAUAUCACGCAGAACUCCGAUUGCGAAGGCAGCUUACUAAGGUACAACUGACGCUGAAGCACGAAAGCGUGGGUAUCAAACAGGAUUAGAUACCCUGGUAGUCCACGCAGUAAACGAUGAUAACUGGGCGUAUGCGAUAUACAGUAUGCUCCUAAGCGAAAGCGUUAAGUUAUCCACCUGGGGAGUACGCCGGCAACGGUGAAACUCAAAGGGAAUUGACGGGGGCCCGCACAAGCGGAGGAACAUGUGG
This 920-nucleotide ribosomal RNA is filed under the name uncultured bacterium. Its description in RNAcentral is "bacterial SSU rRNA". It matches the Rfam family "Bacterial small subunit ribosomal RNA", at positions 33 to 944 of the family's 1533-position model. The record is from RNAcentral.